GCUCAGGAUGAACGCUAGCUACAGGCUUAACACAUGCAAGUCGAGGGGCAUCAGGAAGAAAGCUUGCUUUCUUUGCUGGCGACCGGCGCACGGGUGAGUAACACGUAUCCAACCUGCCCUUUACUCGGGGAUAGCCUUUCGAAAGAAAGAUUAAUACCCGAUGGCAUAAUGAUUCCGCAUGGUUUCAUUAUUAAAGGAUUCCGGUAAAGGAUGGGGAUGCGUUCCAUUAGGUUGUUGGUGAGGUAACGGCUCACCAAGCCUUCGAUGGAUAGGGGUUCUGAGAGGAAGGUCCCCCACAUUGGAACUGAGACACGGUCCAAACUCCUACGGGAGGCAGCAGUGAGGAAUAUUGGUCAAUGGGCGCUAGCCUGAACCAGCCAAGUAGCGUGAAGGAUGAAGGCUCUAUGGGUCGUAAACUUCUUUUAUAUAAGAAUAAAGUGCAGUAUGUAUACUGUUUUGUAUGUAUUAUAUGAAUAAGGAUCGGCUAACUCCGUGCCAGCAGCCGCGGUAAUACGGAGGAUCCGAGCGUUAUCCGGAUUUAUUGGGUUUAAAGGGAGCGUAGGUGGACUGGUAAGUCAGUUGUGAAAGUUUGCGGCUCAACCGUAAAAUUGCAGUUGAUACUGUCAGUCUUGAGUACAGUAGAGGUGGGCGGAAUUCGUGGUGUAGCGGUGAAAUGCUUAGAUAUCACGAAGAACUCCGAUUGCGAAGGCAGCUCACUGGACUGCAACUGACACUGGUGCUCGAAAGUGUGGGUAUCAAACAGGAUUAGAUACCCUGGUAGUCCACACAGUAAACGAUGAAUACUCGCUGUUUGCGAUAUACAGUAAGCGGCCAAGCGAAAGCAUUAAGUAUUCCACCUGGGGAGUACGCCGGCAACGGUGAAACUCAAAGGAAUUGACGGGGGCCCGCACAAGCGGAGGAACAUGUGGUUUAAUUCGAUGAUACGCGAGGAACCUUACCCGGGCUUAAAUUGCAGUGGAAUGAUGUGGAAACAUGUCAGUGAGCAAUCACCGCUGUGAAGGUGCUGCAUGGUUGUCGUCAGCUCGUGCCGUGAGGCGUCGGCUUAAGUGCCAUAACGAGCGCAACCCUUAUCUUUAGUUACUAACAGGUCAUGCUGAGGACUCUAGAGAGACUGCCGUCGUAAGAUGUGAGGAAGGUGGGGAUGACGUCAAAUCAGCACGGCCCUUACGUCCGGGGCUACACACGUGUUACAAUGGGGGGUACAGAAGGCAGCUAGCGGGUGACCGUAUGCUAAUCCCAAAAGCCUCUCUCAGUUCGGAUCGAAGUCUGCAACCCGACUUCGUGAAGCUGGAUUCGCUAGUAAUCGCGCAUCAGCCACGGCGCGGUGAAUACGUUCCCGGGCCUUGUACACACCGCCCGUCAAGCCAUGGGAGCCGGGGGUACCUGAAGUACGUAACCGCAAGGAUCGUCCUAGGGUAAAA
RNAcentral lists this ribosomal RNA (1442 nucleotides) under uncultured organism. RNAcentral's name for it is "SSU rRNA". It matches the Rfam family "Bacterial small subunit ribosomal RNA". The record is from RNAcentral.